GAUCCUGGCUCAGAUUGAACGCUGGCGGCAGGCCUAACACAUGCAAGUCGGAGCGGAUGAAGAGAGCUUGCUCUCUGAUUCAGCGGCGGACGGGUGAGUAAUGCCUAGGAAUCUGCCUGAUAGUGGGGGACAACGUUUCGAAAGGAACGCUAAUACCGCAUACGUCCUACGGGAGAAAGCAGGGGACCUUCGGGUCCUUGCGCUAUCAGAUGAGCCGUAGGUCGGAUUAG
RNAcentral lists this ribosomal RNA (230 nucleotides) under uncultured bacterium. Its description in RNAcentral is "partial 16S ribosomal RNA". It matches the Rfam family "Bacterial small subunit ribosomal RNA", at positions 15 to 244 of the family's 1533-position model. The record is from RNAcentral.